This 896-nucleotide ribosomal RNA is filed under the name uncultured Cladosporium. RNAcentral's name for it is "LSU rRNA". It matches the Rfam family "Eukaryotic large subunit ribosomal RNA", at positions 39 to 961 of the family's 3401-position model. Lineage: Eukaryota; Fungi; Ascomycota; Dothideomycetes; Cladosporiales; Cladosporiaceae. The record is from RNAcentral.
CAUAUCAAUAAGCGGAGGAAAAGAAACCAACAGGGAUUGSUCUAGUAACGGSGAGUGAAGCAGCAAUAGCUCAAAUUUGAAAUCUGGSGUCUUCGACGUCCGAGUUGUAAUUUGUAGAGGAUGCUUCUGAGUAACCACCGACCUAAGUUCCUCGGAACAGGACGUCAUAGAGGGUGAGAAUCCCGUAUGCGGUCGGAAAGGUGCUCUAUACGUAGCUCCUUCGACGAGUCGAGUUGUUUGGGAAUGCAGCUCUAAAUGGGAGGUAAAUUUCUUCUAAAGCUAAAUAUUGGCCAGAGACCGAUAGCGCACAAGUAGAGUGAUCGAAAGAUGAAAAGCACUUUGGAAAGAGAGUUAAAAAGCACGUGAAAUUGUUAAAAGGGAAGGGAUUGCAACCAGACUUGCUCGCGGUGUUCCGCCGGUCUUCUGACCGGUCUACUCGCCGCGUUGCAGGCCAGCAUCGUCUGGUGCCGCUGGAUAAGACUUGAGGAAUGUAGCUCCCUCGGGAGUGUUAUAGCCUCUUGUGAUGCAGCGAGCGCCGGGCGAGGUCCGCGCUUCGGCUAGGAUGCUGGCGUAAUGGUCGUAAUCCGCCCGUCUUGAAACACGGACCAAGGAGUCUAACAUCUAUGCGAGUGUUCGGGUGUCAAACCCCUACGCGUAAUGAAAGUGAACGGAGGUGAGAACCGCAAGGUGCAUCAUCGACCGAUCCUGAUGUCUUCGGAUGGAUUUGAGUAAGAGCAUAGCUGUUGGGACCCGAAAGAUGGUGAACUAUGCCUGAAUAGGGUGAAGCCAGAGGAAACUCUGGUGGAGGCUCGCAGCGGUUCUGACGUGCAAAUCGAUCGUCAAAUUUGGGUAUAGGGGCGAAAGACUAAUCGAACCAUCUAGUAGCUGGUUCCUGC